RNAcentral lists this ribosomal RNA (482 nucleotides) under uncultured bacterium. RNAcentral describes it as "bacterial SSU rRNA". It matches the Rfam family "Bacterial small subunit ribosomal RNA", at positions 28 to 507 of the family's 1533-position model. The record is from RNAcentral.
GAUGAACGCUAGCGGCAGGCCUAAUACAUGCAAGUCGAACGGAUAUAUGUUUUUCGGAAUAUAUAUUAGUGGCGCACGGGUGAGUAACACGUACAUAACUUGCCCUCAAGCGGGGGGAUAGCCUUGGGAAACUGAGAGUAAUACCCCAUAGAAUUAUUGGACGGCAUCGUUUGAUAAUUAAAACUACGGUGUUUGGGGAUAGAUGUGCGUCUGAUUAGCUAGUUGGUGAGGUAACUGCUCACCAAGGCGACGAUCAGUAGGGGGCGUGAGAGCGUGGCCCCCCACACGGGUACUGAGACACGGACCCGACUCCUACGGGAGGCAGCAGUAAGGAAUAUUGGUCAAUGGAGGGAACUCUGAACCAGCCAUGCCGCGUGAAGGAUGACGGCCCUCUGGGUUGUAAACUUCUUUUGGAUGGGGCGAAAAACGGGAUUUAUCCUGGACUGACGGUACCAUCAGAAUAAGCACCGGCUAACUCCGUG